RNAcentral lists this small nucleolar RNA (82 nucleotides) under Anabas testudineus (climbing perch). Lineage: Eukaryota; Metazoa; Chordata; Actinopteri; Anabantiformes; Anabantidae. The record is from RNAcentral.
ACUGUCAAUGACGACAAUUUAUCCCCCUUGCUUGAGUUUAACGACCAUGAAAAAACUCACAUGCACUACCAUCUGAGACGGG